This is a non-coding RNA of Salmo salar (Atlantic salmon), 454 nucleotides long. The record is from RefSeq and is a predicted model, not a curated record. NCBI's taxonomy places the organism in Eukaryota, Metazoa, Chordata, Actinopteri, Salmoniformes, Salmonidae.
ACAGUGAGCCCGUAUAUACGAAACAUCAUAUUUACCAUAAAUGUGUUUGCAUUAAUUAAAGUACAAAUAAAUCUGAAGUUACUAUGUGCUGACUAUUUUGUUCUGAUACCAGAUCGAAUUGACGCAACUUAACAAUAUUAAUCUGCUAGUAUGGCAAAAUACGUGGAAGGCGCAUAAUGAACUUCAUAUUUUAUCCUGCACAGUAACAAUGAUGCUGCACACUCCAGCAACUCGUUCUGAAUUUCGCGGCUCAUAAGCGUGGCAUUGCGAGCCCGAGCCACCAGACAGACACCCUACCUGCCCAGGAUAUUGAAGGAACCUUGAGACAGAUCAUUCAGAUGAACAGUCGGGAGAGGAGAGAACUACAGAGCACAAAGACAAGAAAGGAAAGGGGAGAUAUGUAGUCAGUUGUACAACUGAAUGAAUUCAACUGAAAUGUGUCUUCCGCAUUUAA